UCUCACAAUUUCAAGGAAAAUUGAAUUCCUGCGGAGCAGCUCGCAGGCCGGGCCGUGGCAUUUCAGAGCGGUUUAGAAGUAAUAUUCCGUUCGCCGGGGCCGUGAAAUAGGAGUCAUUUCUCUAUGGCCCAGCUGCUUUUCCAACCCCUGUCGCCGGCCAGGCAGUGCCUGUAAUUGACCUGGCCCGGCUGGGAGGAAAGAUCUGCCCAGCCGCUGACCGGGCCUAGGGAAAGGGAGAUAUUGUGCCUUAAAGUUCACUGGGUAACAGGAUGAAGAAUAUAUUGAAACCUUCCUCAAAAUAUCAGUGAGAUCAAAGGAAAAUACAGUCUUCACAAAAGACUCCAAGCUACACCCACAUGCAGCAAUUUACAUUUUUUGUUUCCGGAGAAGCUGAUUCCUUAUCCAACCAAACCUGAACAGAACAGAACAUGAAAUAAAACUUAAAACUGGCACCGCGAGGAUCUGUGUUGCAAACCUGCUGUUGAGAUUCAGCCAUAGUCUUUAGCCCACCUGGGUGGCGGCUGGGUGACACACGGGGGGUCCAAGCUUCCUCCCACCCAGACUCAUUGUCCACUGAAACACACACAGAGGAUGGGUUGAGAAACAACCGUUAACCUGCCCUGCACUCCCCCUCCCCGCCCCCCUAGCCAACCUGUUCCUCCCCAUCUCUGCUCCAGCUGAUUCUGCUCAGCGCCGAACCAGGUAAUUCAUCCCCAACUCCGCAUACAAAAAACCCCUCGCACACACAAAAAAAUUCUGAAGUCAUUAAUUUACUUUGGUAGUUUAUUCAGGAGAGCUCGUGUUGCAAAUGAGGCUCUUGAAAUUACGUCGAUAAUUAAUUGUGCAAAUUUGUUUCUAUUAAAUAAAAAUAACACGUAUUGAAGAACUCA
Molecule: long non-coding RNA, 890 nt
Organism: Gopherus flavomarginatus (Mexican gopher tortoise)
Lineage: Eukaryota; Metazoa; Chordata; Testudines; Testudinidae
Exons: 5
Source: RefSeq, a predicted model, not a curated record